AUGAACGCUGGCGGCGUGCCUAAUACAUGCAAGUCGAGCGAACAGACGAGGAGCUUGCUCCUCUGACGUUAGCGGCGGACGGGUGAGUAACACGUGGAUAACCUACCUAUAAGACUGGGAUAACUUCGGGAAACCGGAGCUAAUACCGGAUAAUAUAUUGAACCGCAUGGUUCAAUAGUGAAAGACGGUUUUGCUGUCACUUAUAGAUGGAUCCGCGCCGCAUUAGCUAGUUGGUAAGGUAACGGCUUACCAAGGCAACGAUGCGUAGCCGACCUGAGAGGGUGAUCGGCCACACUGGAACUGAGACACGGUCCAGACUCCUACGGGAGGCAGCAGUAGGGAAUCUUCCGCAAUGGGCGAAAGCCUGACGGAGCAACGCCGCGUGAGUGAUGAAGGUCUUCGGAUCGUAAAACUCUGUUAUUAGGGAAGAACAAAUGUGUAAGUAACUAUGCACGUCUUGACGGUAUCUAAUCAGAAAGCCACGGCUAACUACGUG
This 496-nucleotide ribosomal RNA is filed under the name uncultured bacterium. RNAcentral describes it as "partial 16S ribosomal RNA". It matches the Rfam family "Bacterial small subunit ribosomal RNA", at positions 29 to 507 of the family's 1533-position model. The record is from RNAcentral.